RNAcentral lists this transfer RNA (66 nucleotides) under Perna perna. RNAcentral's name for it is "tRNA-His". The record is from RNAcentral. Lineage: Eukaryota; Metazoa; Mollusca; Bivalvia; Mytilida; Mytilidae.
GGAAGCUAGUUUAUUUAGAACGGUAGUUUGUGGCUCUAUUAGAAUAGACUUGGUCUAUGCUUCUAA